AACGAACGCUGGCGGCGUGCUUAAUACAUGCAAGUCGUGCGAGAACGGGUCCUUCGGGGCCCGUAGUAAAGCGGCGCACGGGUGCGUAACACGUGGGCAACCUGCCCAACGGUUCGGGAUAAGCUCUCGAAAGGGGGUCUAAUACCGAAUGAUAUUCAGACGAGACAUCUCGUUUGACUCAAAGGCGGUGAAAGCCGUCGCCGAUGGAUGGGCCCGCGGCCCAUUAGCUAGUUGGCGGGGUAACGGCCCACCAAGGCUGUGAUGGGUAGCCGACCUGAGAGGGCGACCGGCCACACUGGGACUGAGACACGGCCCAGACUCCUACGGGAGGCAGCAGUGGGGAAGUCUUGCGCAAUGGGCGAAAGCCUGACGCAGCGACGCCGCGUGAGGGAU
This 393-nucleotide ribosomal RNA is filed under the name uncultured bacterium. RNAcentral's name for it is "bacterial SSU rRNA". It matches the Rfam family "Bacterial small subunit ribosomal RNA", at positions 28 to 409 of the family's 1533-position model. The record is from RNAcentral.